This 568-nucleotide ribosomal RNA is filed under the name uncultured bacterium. RNAcentral's name for it is "partial 16S ribosomal RNA". It matches the Rfam family "Bacterial small subunit ribosomal RNA", at positions 355 to 1375 of the family's 1533-position model. The record is from RNAcentral.
UGGGGAAUAUUGCACAAUGGGCGCAAGCCUGAUGCAGCGACGCCGCGUGAGGGAUGACGGCCUUCGGGUUGUAAACCUCUUUCAGCAGGGACGAAGCGCGAGUGACGGUACCUGCAGAAGAAGCACCGGCCAACUACGUGCCAGCAGCCGCGGUAAUACGUAGGGUGCGAGCGUUGUCCGGAAUUACUGGGCGUAAAGAGCUCGUAGGCGGUUUGUCGCGUCGUCUGUGAAAUUCUGCAGCUUAACUGCAGGCGUGCAGGCGAUACGGGCAGACUUGAGUACUACAGGGGAGACUGGAAUUCCUGGUGUAGCGGUGAAAUGCGCAGAUAUCAGGAGGAACACCGGUGGCGAAGGCGGGUCUCUGGGUAGUAACUGACGCUGAGGAGCGAAAGCGUGGGUAGCGAACAGGAUUAGAUACCCUGGUAGUCCACGCCGUAAACGGUGGGUACUAGGUGUGGGUUCCAUUUCACGGGAUCCGUGCCGUAGCUAACGCAUUAAGUACCCCGCCUGGGGAGUACGGCCGCAAGGCUAAACUCAAAUGAAUUGACGGGGUCAUAGCUGUUUUCCU